Caretta caretta (loggerhead turtle) is the source of this 1586-nucleotide long non-coding RNA. RefSeq lists it as uncharacterized. NCBI's taxonomy places the organism in Eukaryota, Metazoa, Chordata, Testudines, Cheloniidae. The record is from RefSeq and is a predicted model, not a curated record.
UGCAUCUUCUUUUAUUUAUUUACAGGUUCUUUUCCCCCCCUCCCUACUCCUAAGUUCAAACCCUGGAGUGGUUUUAUUAUGUUUUUGGCUGGAUGUUACUGCACUGUUCUGCGUCAGAGCCGUUUUCUGAAUGGAAUGAUGGCACAGGUGGUACGAAUGUCGCUCUUGCCUGUGGUGCUGUUAUGCAGCUGGGGGUGGUGGUGGUCGUGGGGGGAGAUGAGAACUUUGCAGAGGCUGUCGUUUAAUAAUUUUUUUUUAAUUCCUCCCUCCCACCUAUUUAAAGGCUGGUAUGUCGGCCAGGGGUUGGUGCAGGGAUUAACAGACACUCUGCAUUUUAAAGCUUGGAGGUUUGUCACUGCGUAGUUCAGAAAGUGGUAAAUGGUGACGCAGUGAUCAUUGCAGGGCAUGUUGUCCAGUUUUUAAAAGCAUCAGGGGGACAGGUACACCGUGCCUUUCAGAGGCUUCCAGACUAGCUGAAAGGGGUUAAGGAUGAGUCGAGAAGGGAAGCUAGGGUUUAGGGAUUAAAUGUCAUCAUUUUGGCGUUGGAAAGUUGUUUACCUUGCUCUCUCCGUGUCUCUAUGUUGGCAGCCUUCCAGCUCACAUGUGAUAGUCUUCCCUGUACUGCUGCAUCAUUAACUAAGUGGCUGAGCUUGCACACGAUUGGCUGGGGAGGGUUCUGAGCCUAAACACUUGAUCCUAUUGGUAGAAAGGGUGAUGGCAGGUGAAAAGCUCUCAUGGAUUGGCCGAGGGCAGGGUGUCAAAUCUAAAUGUUGAUUUCACUUGCCUCAAAUCAGUUCUAAACACUUUGUGACUAAAUCACCUGGGUUUUCUCUUCUUUUCCUUUUUUAAAAUAUUUUUAAGGCAGGCAUUUGAAAUCUCUCUCUCUCUCUCUUGCAGUGUCAGUUAUGCAAAGUAACUAAAAGCAAGGGAAGGAUGUGACAAGCUCUUGGAGGUGGUUUGUUAUGUUGUUUAUGUAAAUAACACAGCCAGAACCAAGUAUGUCAUAGCUUGAAUUACUUCAGUGACAGAGAUAGAUCUUGGAAUAACUGUGCUCAUGCCCAGAGAGAGGUACCUUCCACAGCAGGGUGGACCAUCAGACCGCCUCCUGCAAGGUCAUUCUGCUGUCUCACCAUCAGCCGCUAACAGUGCUGCCUGACCUCAUGGACAUCCUGUAUGAGAUGCCCAAGCAAGCCACAGACUUUGGAAGGAACAGCAUCAGCUAUCAGAGAUUCCUCUUUUAUGAAAGGAAACUUGGAUUCCAGAGAUAGAAAGGGCACUCUCCAGUUUGCACUGCUGAAAGUGCACAUCCUCACUGGUCCAUCCAGUCAGCGUCUAGUCUAAUCAGCAGACCCAGCGUCAUCCCUGGAAGACGUCCAAGAGGAGACCAUUGCUGGUGGGGAUGAAGAGCGCACACAAGGCGGAACAGAAGCCCUGGAGUCUGUUUGCUCCAAGACAUAUUUUCUUAGAUCACCCUGAAUACGGAAUGUGGUUAUUUCCUGAAGGCUCUGCAGACUAAGCUAACCAGAAAAUGCUCCACGAUAGCAUUCUGCAAAAGGUCUGGCUAAUUAUGGCUGAGAUUAUUAAAC